This 494-nucleotide ribosomal RNA is filed under the name uncultured bacterium. RNAcentral's name for it is "partial 16S ribosomal RNA". It matches the Rfam family "Bacterial small subunit ribosomal RNA", at positions 28 to 507 of the family's 1533-position model. The record is from RNAcentral.
GACGAACGCUGGCGGCGUGCUUAACACAUGCAAGUCGAACGGUGAAGCGCCUUCCUUUUUGGUGGGUGUGGAUGAGUGGCGAACGGGUGAGUAACACGUGAGUAACCUGCCCCCUUCUUCUGGAUAACCGCAUGAAAGUGUGGCUAAUACGGGAUAUUCUGGGUCUGUCGCAUGAUGGGUCUGGGAAAGAUAUUGUUUCGGUGGGGGAUGGGCUCGCGGCCUAUCAGCUUGUUGGUGGGGUGAUGGCCUACCAAGGCGGUGACGGGUAGCCGGCCUGAGAGGGUGGACGGUCACACUGGGACUGAGACACGGCCCAGACUCCGACGAGAGGCAGCAGUGGGGAAUAGUGCACAAUGGGCGCAAGCCUGAUGCAGCGACGCCGCGUGAGGGAUGGAGGCCUGCGGGUUGUGAACCUCUUUCGCCAGUGAAGCAGGCCUGCCUCGUUUGUGGGUGGGUUGACGGUAGCUGGAGAAGAAGCGCCGGCUAACUACGUG